Molecule: ribosomal RNA, 1416 nt
Filed under: bacterium
Lineage: Bacteria
Description: bacterial SSU rRNA
Rfam family: Bacterial small subunit ribosomal RNA
Source: RNAcentral
AGUCGAGCGAACAGAUGAGAAGCUUGCUUCUCUGAUGUUAGCGGCGGACGGGUGAGUAACACGUGGGUAACCUACCUAUAAGACUGGGAUAACUCCGGGAAACCGGGGCUAAUACCGGAUAAUAUUUUGAACCGCAUGGUUCAAUAGUGAAAGACGGUUUCGGCUGUCACUUAUAGAUGGACCCGCGCCGUAUUAGCUAGUUGGUAAGGUAAUGGCUUACCAAGGCGACGAUACGUAGCCGACCUGAGAGGGUGAUCGGCCACACUGGAACUGAGACACGGUCCAGACUCCUACGGGAGGCAGCAGUAGGGAAUCUUCCGCAAUGGGCGAAAGCCUGACGGAGCAACGCCGCGUGAGUGAUGAAGGUCUUCGGAUCGUAAAACUCUGUUGUUAGGGAAGAACAAAUUUGUUAGUAACUGAACAAGUCUUGACGGUACCUAACCAGAAAGCCACGGCUAACUACGUGCCAGCAGCCGCGGUAAUACGUAGGUGGCAAGCGUUAUCCGGAAUUAUUGGGCGUAAAGCGCGCGUAGGCGGUUUCUUAAGUCUGAUGUGAAAGCCCACGGCUCAACCGUGGAGGGUCAUUGGAAACUGGGAAACUUGAGUGCAGAAGAGGAGAGUGGAAUUCCAUGUGUAGCGGUGAAAUGCGCAGAGAUAUGGAGGAACACCAGUGGCGAAGGCGGCUCUCUGGUCUGUAACUGACGCUGAUGUGCGAAAGCGUGGGGAUCAAACAGGAUUAGAUACCCUGGUAGUCCACGCCGUAAACGAUGAGUGCUAAGUGUUAGGGGGUUUCCGCCCCUUAGUGCUGCAGCUAACGCAUUAAGCACUCCGCCUGGGGAGUACGACCGCAAGGUUGAAACUCAAAGGAAUUGACGGGGACCCGCACAAGCGGUGGAGCAUGUGGUUUAAUUCGAAGCAACGCGAAGAACCUUACCAAAUCUUGACAUCCUUUGACCGCUCUAGAGAUAGAGUCUUCCCCUUCGGGGGACAAAGUGACAGGUGGUGCAUGGUUGUCGUCAGCUCGUGUCGUGAGAUGUUGGGUUAAGUCCCGCAACGAGCGCAACCCUUAAGCUUAGUUGCCAUCAUUAAGUUGGGCACUCUAGGUUGACUGCCGGUGACAAACCGGAGGAAGGUGGGGAUGACGUCAAAUCAUCAUGCCCCUUAUGAUUUGGGCUACACACGUGCUACAAUGGAUAAUACAAAGGGCAGCGAAUCCGCGAGGCCAAGCAAAUCCCAUAAAAUUAUUCUCAGUUCGGAUUGUAGUCUGCAACUCGACUACAUGAAGCUGGAAUCGCUAGUAAUCGUAGAUCAGCAUGCUACGGUGAAUACGUUCCCGGGUCUUGUACACACCGCCCGUCACACCACGAGAGUUUGUAACACCCGAAGCCGGUGGAGUAACCUUUUAGGAGCUAGCCC